Molecule: ribosomal RNA, 254 nt
Filed under: uncultured bacterium
Lineage: Bacteria
Description: partial 16S ribosomal RNA
Rfam family: Bacterial small subunit ribosomal RNA
Source: RNAcentral
UACAGAGGUCCCAAGCGUUGUUCGGAUUCACUGGGCGUAAAGGGUGCGUAGGUGGUCAGGUAAGUCUGAUGUGAAAGCUCUGGGCUCAACCCAGAAAUGGCAUUGGAUACUAUCUGGCUAGAGGAAUGGAGGGGGGACUGGAAUACUUGGUGUAGCAGUGAAAUGCGUAGAUAUCAAGUGGAACACCAGUGGCGAAGGCGAGUCCCUGGACAUUUCCUGACACUGAGGCACGAAAGCUAGGGGGAGCAAACAGG